CCUACGGGAGGCAGCAGUGGGGAAUAUUGGACAAUGGGGGCAACCCUGAUCCAGCCAUGCCGCGUGUGUGAAGAAGGCCCUCGGGUUGUAAAGCACUUUCAGUGAGGAAGAACGCCUGGUGGUUAAUACCCAUCAGGAAAGACAUCACUCACAGAAGAAGCACCGGCUAACUCCGUGCCAGCAGCCGCGGUAAUACGGAGGGUGCGAGCGUUAAUCGGAAUUACUGGGCGUAAGCGCGCGUAGGUGGCUUGAUAAGCCGGUUGUGAAAGCCCCGGGCUCAACCUGGGAACGGCAUCCGGAACUGUCAAGCUAGAGUGCAGGAGAGGAAGGUAGAAUUCCCGGUGUAGCGGUGAAAUGCGUAGAGAUCGGGAGGAAUACCAGUGGCGAAGGCGGCCUUCUGGACUGACACUGACACUGAGGUGCGAAAGCGUGGGUAGCAAACAGGAUUAGAUACCCUGGUAGUC
RNAcentral lists this ribosomal RNA (464 nucleotides) under Vreelandella stevensii. Its description in RNAcentral is "partial 16S ribosomal RNA". It matches the Rfam family "Bacterial small subunit ribosomal RNA", at positions 338 to 795 of the family's 1533-position model. Lineage: Bacteria; Pseudomonadati; Pseudomonadota; Gammaproteobacteria; Oceanospirillales; Halomonadaceae. The record is from RNAcentral.